UACAGAGGGUGCUAGCGUUGUUCGGAAUCAUUGGGCGUAAAGGGCGUGUAGGCGGUUUGUUAAGUCAUGUGUGAAAUCCCUCGGCUCAACCGGGGAAGGACGCAUGAAACUGGCAAGCUAGAGUACCAAAGAGGGGGGUGGAAUUCCUGGUGUAGCGGUGAAAUGCGCAGAUAUCAGGAAGAACACCCGUGGCUAAGGCGGUUCUCUAGUACGGUACUGACGCUGAGACGCGAAAGCGUGGGGAGCGAACAGG
Molecule: ribosomal RNA, 253 nt
Filed under: uncultured bacterium
Lineage: Bacteria
Description: partial 16S ribosomal RNA
Rfam family: Bacterial small subunit ribosomal RNA
Source: RNAcentral